GUCAUGGCUCAGGAUGAACGCUAGCUACAGGCUUAACACAUGCAAGUCGAGGGGCAGCAUCGCGAUAGCUUGCUAUUGCGGAUGGCGACCGGCGCACGGGUGAGUAACGCGUAUCCAACCUUCCCGCAACUGGGGAAUAACCUUGCGAAAGUAAGACUAAUACCCCAUGGUCUCCACGGAUGGCAUCUGAAAUGGAGUAAAGGUUUCGGCCGGUUGCGGAUGGGGAUGCGUCCGAUUAG
This 239-nucleotide ribosomal RNA is filed under the name uncultured bacterium. Its description in RNAcentral is "partial 16S ribosomal RNA". It matches the Rfam family "Bacterial small subunit ribosomal RNA", at positions 16 to 244 of the family's 1533-position model. The record is from RNAcentral.